RNAcentral lists this unclassified non-coding RNA (326 nucleotides) under soil metagenome. RNAcentral describes it as "partial contains 5.8S ribosomal RNA, internal transcribed spacer 2, and large subunit ribosomal RNA". The stretch from base 1 to 120 matches the Rfam family "5.8S ribosomal RNA", at positions 35 to 154 of the family's 154-position model. The record is from RNAcentral.
GAUGAAGAACGCAGCGAAAUGCGAUAAGUAGUGUGAAUUGCAGAAUUUAGUGAAUCAUCGAAUCUUUGAACGCACAUUGCGCCCUAUAGUAUUCUGUAGGGCAUGCCUGUUCGAGCGUUAUUGAGACCUCAAGCUCUGCUUGGAAAUGGGCGCUUGUCUUGCCUUGCAGACUCGCCUUAAAACCAUUGGCAGCUGAUUUACAAUGUUUGGUGCACAGUACAUGAGCCCAAGUGUUGCAAUGAGUGGCCCAAAAGUAUACAAUAGAAGCUUAACCUCGGAUCAGGUAGGGAUACACGCUGAACUUAAGCAUAUCAAUAAGCGGAGGA